GAUGAACGCUGGCGGCGUGCCUAAUACAUGCAAGUCGAGCGAACAGAUGAGGAGCUUGCUCCUCUGACGUUAGCGGCGGACGGGUGAGUAACGCGUGGAUAACCUACCUAUAAGACUGGGAUAACUUCGGGAAACCGGAGCUAAUACCGGAUAAUAUAUUGAAUCGCAUGGUUCAAUAGUGAAAGACGGUUUUGCUGUCACUUAUAGAUGGAUCCGCGCCGCAUUAGCUAGUUGGUAAGGUAACGGCUUACCAAGGCAACGAUGCGUAGCCGACCUGAGAGGGUGAUCGGCCACACUGGAACUGAGACACGGUCCAGACUCCUACGGGAGGCAGCAGUAGGGAAUCUUCCGCAAUGGGCGAAAGCCUGACGGAGCAACGCCGCGUGAGUGAUGAAGGUCUUCGGAUCGUAAAACUCUGUUAUUAGGGAAGAACAAAUGUGUAAGUAACUAUGCACGUCUUGACGGUACCUAAUCAGAAAGCCACGGCUAACUACGUG
This 497-nucleotide ribosomal RNA is filed under the name uncultured bacterium. RNAcentral's name for it is "partial 16S ribosomal RNA". It matches the Rfam family "Bacterial small subunit ribosomal RNA", at positions 28 to 507 of the family's 1533-position model. The record is from RNAcentral.